UACGAAGGGGGCGAGCGUUAUUCGGAAUCACUGGGCGUAAAGCGUGCGUAGGCUGCUCGGAAAGUUGGGAGUGAAAGCCCAGGGCUCAACCCUGGAAUUGCUUUCAAAACUACCGAGCUCGGAUUCGGGAGAGGAUAGCGGAAUUGUCAGUGUAGCAGUGAAAUGCGUAGAUAUUGACAGGAACACCAGUGGCGCAAGCGGCUAUCUGGACCGACAUCGACGCUGAGGCACGAAAGCGUGGGGAUCAAACAGG
RNAcentral lists this ribosomal RNA (253 nucleotides) under uncultured bacterium. RNAcentral describes it as "partial 16S ribosomal RNA". It matches the Rfam family "Bacterial small subunit ribosomal RNA", at positions 524 to 776 of the family's 1533-position model. The record is from RNAcentral.